AGUUUGAAUAUAUUCCCGAGCUGGUAUCGCUGAAUGCUAUAUAUGCGCAACAGUUGUGGAACUGGGCCUUCCUAACCAAAGCUCUGCCCUCUUUGCCUCUCAAUCUGUCUUUCUCUCACUGGUAUGUAUGAUGUGAUCGCUCUCGCAUCGCCUGCCUAAUAUACUUUGAGGGGGUAGUUUUAUGGGGGUAGAAGUGCAAGUGCCAGUUGCGCCGUUGCCAGAGAGUUCAGUCAGAAUCGAGCACAGCAGUUCGCCAGUUCGGUCGAAAUAUUCAUUGCUUGUGUUGGCUGCUGCACGCGGUACAAAACAGAGAGGACACACACAUCGCUUUUAUCGCACAACACCGAGAGUUUAGUUUGUCUGCCUAGUUACUGUCGGCCCUUGGUUGGACCGCACGACCUCAUCAAAGGAGCAGUAAGCGAGAAGAUCGAGAGCUCCACAUCUCUACCAUCAAAUCAUAUGAUCAUCAUGUUGGCGACCAGGCCAGGCCAGCAACCCGAAAAUCGCAUCAAAGCCAUGCCAGUCAGUCGGGCAAAUGUUUGACAUUUGGUUUAUGGUUUUUGGUGUGUUUUCAACAUUAUUUUGAAUAAAUUCAUUUAUAAAAAAAAUAGUAUUUUUGUUGUGCUACGUUUGUGGUAUUUG
This is a long non-coding RNA of Drosophila mojavensis, 642 nucleotides long. RefSeq lists it as uncharacterized. The record is from RefSeq and is a predicted model, not a curated record. The transcript has 2 exons. Lineage: Eukaryota; Metazoa; Arthropoda; Insecta; Diptera; Drosophilidae.